GAAUGGCCUUCUCUCCUACUUCAUCACCCGGAUACAGCCCAUCAUCACCAGGCUACAGUCCGUCAUCUCCUGGAUACAGUCCCACGUCACCUGGAUACAGCCCAACUUCGCCUGGAUACAGUCCCACCUCGCCUGGAUAUAGCCCUACCUCACCAACUUAUAGUCCAAGUUCUCCUGGUUAUAGUCCAACCAGUCCUGCCUAUUCUCCUACCAGUCCAUCGUACUCACCUACUUCACCAAGCUAUAGCCCAACCUCCCCAAGUUACAGCCCAACAUCCCCAAGCUACAGCCCGACCUCUCCAAGUUACAGCCCCACUUCUCCCAGUUACAGUCCAACUUCACCAAGCUAUAGCCCCACCUCACCGGCAUAUAGCCCCACCUCACCUGCAUAUAGCCCCACCUCACCUGCAUACAGCCCCACUUCACCAUCGUACAGCCCAACCUCUCCUUCCUACAGCCCAACAUCACCUUCGUACAGCCCUACCUCACCGUCAUACAGCCCCACUUCUCCAUCGUACAGCCCCACUUCACCAGCCUAUAGCCCCACUUCUCCUGGUUAUAGUCCAACUUCACCAAGUUAUAGCCCAACUUCACCAACCUAUAGUCCUACAUCCCCAAGCUACAAUCCUCAGUCUGCCAAAUACAGUCCGUCGCUGGCCUACUCACCAAGUAGUCCAAGAUUAUCUCCUGCCAGUCCGUACAGCCCUACAUCUCCAAAUUACAGGUAAGCCAUAGUGCGAUAUGUGGUCAAGUCUAAUGUUUGUGUUAAAAGCUGUAUCCAAUUUAUUAGGUCUUGUUUUUGAUAGAAUUCUAUAUACUGAAAUAUCUGUUGAACCUAAGACUUGCUGUAGCUGGGGAUUGGACUUGGAUGGGUUUAAAUUAUUAAUGAUUUUAUCUCUGUUGUUUUUAACAUUAUUAUAUCUGGAUGAUUAUGUUGAUGUAUCUUGUAAGCAACUUUUCUUUUUACGCAGUCCAACAUCAUCUUCGUAUUCACCGACAUCUCCCUCUAUGAUACUGGACCAAUGAUGAGAUGUUCAUUUGAAGAAACGGUUGACAUUCUUCUUGAUGCUGCAGUCUUUGCAGAAUCAGAUUAUUUGAGGGGGGUCACUGAGAAUAUAAUGUUAGGUCAGCUUGCGCCUAUUGGGACAGGAGACUGUUCAUUGUAUCUCAAUGAUGAGAUGCUGAAAAAUGCCAUCGAACUUCAGCUUCCUAGUUAUAUGGAAGGUCUGGAGUUUGGCAUGACACCUGCUCGUUCUCCGGUGUCUGGGACUCCUUAUCAUGAUGGCAUGAUGUCUCCAGGUUACUUGUUUAGCCCAAAUCUCCGUCUGUCCCCGGUCACGGAUGCCCAGUUUUCUCCUUAUGUUGGUGGAAUGGCCUUCUCUCCUACUUCAUCACCCGGAUACAGCCCAUCAUCACCAGGCUACAGUCCGUCAUCUCCUGGAUACAGUCCCACGUCACCUGGAUACAGCCCAACUUCGCCUGGAUACAGUCCCACCUCGCCUGGAUAUAGCCCUACCUCACCAACUUAUAGUCCAAGUUCUCCUGGUUAUAGUCCAACCAGUCCUGCCUAUUCUCCUACCAGUCCAUCGUACUCACCUACUUCACCAAGCUAUAGCCCAACCUCCCCAAGUUACAGCCCAACAUCCCCAAGCUACAGCCCGACCUCUCCAAGUUACAGCCCCACUUCUCCCAGUUACAGUCCAACUUCACCAAGCUAUAGCCCCACCUCACCGGCAUAUAGCCCCACCUCACCUGCAUAUAGCCCCACCUCACCUGCAUACAGCCCCACUUCACCAUCGUACAGCCCAACCUCUCCUUCCUACAGCCCAACAUCACCUUCGUACAGCCCUACCUCACCGUCAUACAGCCCCACUUCUCCAUCGUACAGCCCCACUUCACCAGCCUAUAGCCCCACUUCUCCUGGUUAUAGUCCAACUUCACCAAGUUAUAGCCCAACUUCACCAACCUAUAGUCCUACAUCCCCAAGCUACAAUCCUCAGUCUGCCAAAUACAGUCCGUCGCUGGCCUACUCACCAAGUAGUCCAAGAUUAUCUCCUGCCAGUCCGUACAGCCCUACAUCUCCAAAUUACAGGUAAGCCAUAGUGCGAUAUGUGGUCAAGUCUAAUGUUUGUGUUAAAAGCUGUAUCCAAUUUAUUAGGUCUUGUUUUUGAUAGAAUUCUAUAUACUGAAAUAUCUGUUGAACCUAAGACUUGCUGUAGCUGGGGAUUGGACUUGGAUGGGUUUAAAUUAUUAAUGAUUUUAUCUCUGUUGUUUUUAACAUUAUUAUAUCUGGAUGAUUAUGUU
This 2304-nucleotide long non-coding RNA is filed under the name Citrus sinensis (sweet orange). RNAcentral's name for it is "long non-coding RNA (CSIN_LNC000470)". Lineage: Eukaryota; Viridiplantae; Streptophyta; Magnoliopsida; Sapindales; Rutaceae. The record is from RNAcentral.